UGGCUUGUGGCGCAACGGUAGCGCGCGGCACUGUUAAUGCCAGGGUUGUAGGUUCGAGUCCUACCAAGCCAG
RNAcentral lists this transfer RNA (72 nucleotides) under Chloroflexota bacterium. RNAcentral's name for it is "tRNA-Asn". It matches the Rfam family "tRNA". Rfam says of the family: Transfer RNA (tRNA) molecules are approximately 80 nucleotides in length. Their secondary structure includes four short double-helical elements and three loops (D, anti-codon, and T loops). Further hydrogen bonds mediate the characteristic L-shaped molecular structure. tRNAs have two regions of fundamental functional importance: the anti-codon, which is responsible for specific mRNA codon recognition, and the 3' end, to which the tRNAs corresponding amino acid is attached (by aminoacyl-tRNA synthetases). tRNAs cope with the degeneracy of the genetic code in two manners: having more than one tRNA (with a specific anti-codon) for a particular amino acid; and 'wobble' base-pairing, i.e. permitting non-standard base-pairing at the 3rd anti-codon position. The record is from RNAcentral. Lineage: Bacteria; Bacillati; Chloroflexota.